Molecule: ribosomal RNA, 166 nt
Filed under: uncultured Aeromonas sp.
Lineage: Bacteria; Pseudomonadati; Pseudomonadota; Gammaproteobacteria; Aeromonadales; Aeromonadaceae
Description: partial 16S ribosomal RNA
Source: RNAcentral
GGUAGGGCCGCGCAGUCACCAGCAGUCGCGCGCGCAGGUUUAACUGCGCUCCUUCCUCCCCGCUGACUGUGCUUUACAACCCGAAGGGCUUCUUCAUACACGCGGAAUGGCUGCAUCAGGAUUGCGGCCAUUGUGCGGUAUUCCCCACUGCGGCCUCCCGUAGGAU